Molecule: long non-coding RNA, 1215 nt
Organism: Carassius gibelio (silver crucian carp)
Lineage: Eukaryota; Metazoa; Chordata; Actinopteri; Cypriniformes; Cyprinidae
Exons: 3
Source: RefSeq, a predicted model, not a curated record
AGCAGAGAGAAUAAUGAAGCAAAUAUGAGAUUAAAUAUGUAUCUGUGACCUGAAUAAAAUAUUUAUAAUCAUAAAUCUUUAUAAAUAAAAAAAAAAAAAUUAUAUUAAGGAUUAUAAACUCAUCCAAUGAAAUUGCAUUUUGAAUGACGUCAUUACGUUUUCCGCUAUCGCGGCAAAUUACAACGCAGCGCGCGUUCCAGAUCCUUAUUUUUUUUCCGUGAACUUGAGAGGAGAGCAGAUGGCUGUCGCUGAUCCAAGAGAUUUAGUGCUUCAGAAUUGAAAAUAAAUGACGCCAGUUUUUUUUUCUCUCUCUCUUUGCUGUUCCAUGUGAUGUUCUGUUGAUGCUCAUCUACUGCAUGUGGCCUGUUCUGGAUACGGAUCAAGUGAAGUGUGAACCUUUUCCUGGAUCGUGAACUGUCUCAACUCUCUCCUGUGCGUGUAACGAUGGAGUUUGGACUGGCGAGCCACCCAUUGGCUGAAGGUUGAGAACAUUCCUGUUUUGAAAGAGCACCGAAGUUGAACUUGUUCAUCUUCAAAUGGUAGGAGUGGAAUUUUAGACUUUAGAGACAUUGGAUUUCAUUACUUCCUGGAUUCUUGGACUAAAUUUAUGAACUGCUUUUUUUUUGUUUUUUUCCUUCUCCAAGAAUGAUUCUGAUUUGUUUGUUGCAAGCAGUGGACUCUUGUUAAAUUUUGAGGUGUUCAGACUGAAUGAAAUUUUGUUUAUUGGGUGUUUUAAUAUCUUUCAGAAACUUUCUUGAGGUUUAUGGGUAAAUAAUCGCUGAACAAUUAAACUAAGAUUUAAAUUUAGGAACAGAACAGUUAAAAAAAGAAAAGGUUGAUUAUAAAUUAAUGAUAAACUGCUUCAAAAUUUAACCUGUUGAAUUAGAUAUCAACGAGGUAGAAAAACGGAAGGGAAACGUCAAUUUACUUUCAUGAGUUAUAUUGCUAUAAGUCUUUAAGGGAAAAAGAACGUGGUACAAAUCCUUAUUAUUGAAUGCAACUAACUGAGGUUAUUGUAUACUGAGUGUGAGGAAACAAAACUGUUUUUUUUUGUUGUUAAUUCACUGUUAAAAUAUAAUCUUUCUUAUUCGUACCUCAACCCCCGUGUCUGAGUGGUUCACUGCUGUCGCACAUCUCUCUCCUCGGACGAACCUAGACUGCUGAACUUACUGGUCCAUUGACAAAAUAACUUGAAAGAUAUUAGGGUGGCACGUG